Molecule: ribosomal RNA, 301 nt
Filed under: uncultured bacterium
Lineage: Bacteria
Description: partial 16S ribosomal RNA
Rfam family: Bacterial small subunit ribosomal RNA
Source: RNAcentral
CAGUCGCCACGGGAAUACAGAGGGUGCGAGCGUUAAUCGGAUUUACUGGGCGUAAAGCGUGCGUAGGCGGCUUCUUAAGUCGGAUGUGAAAUCCCUGAGCUUAACCUGGGAACUGCAUUUGAAACUGUCAGGCUGGAGUCUUGUAGAGGGGGGUAGAAUUCCAGGUGUAGCGGUGAAAUGCGUAGAGAUCUGGAGGAAUACCGGUGGCGAAGGCGGCCCCCUGGACAAAGACUGACGCUCAGGUGCGAAAGCGUGGGGAGCAAACAGGAUUAGAUACCCCGGUAGUCCCUGUCUCUUAUAC